GAUGAACGCUGGCGGCGUGCCUAAUACAUGCAAGUCGAGCGAACGGACGAGAAGCUUGCUUCUCUGAUGUUAGCGGCGGACGGGUGAGUAACACGUGGAUAACCUACCUAUAAGACUGGGAUAACUUCGGGAAACCGGAGCUAAUACCGGAUAAUAUUUUGAACCGCAUGGUUCAAAAGUGAAAGACGGUCUUGCUGUCACUUAUAGAUGGAUCCGCGCUGCAUUAGCUAGUUGGUAAGGUAACGGCUUACCAAGGCAACGAUGCAUAGCCGACCUGAGAGGGUGAUCGGCCACACUGGAACUGAGGCACGGUCCAGACUCCUACGGGAGGCAGCAGUAGGGAAUCUUCCGCAAUGGGCGAGAGCCUGACGGAGCAACGCCGCGUGAGUGAUGAAGGUCUUCGGAUCGUAAAACUCUGUUAUUAGGGAAGAACAUAUGUGUAAGUAACUGUGCACAUCUUGACGGUACCUAAUCAGAAAGCCACGGCUAACUACGUG
This 497-nucleotide ribosomal RNA is filed under the name uncultured bacterium. RNAcentral's name for it is "partial 16S ribosomal RNA". It matches the Rfam family "Bacterial small subunit ribosomal RNA", at positions 28 to 507 of the family's 1533-position model. The record is from RNAcentral.